RNAcentral lists this transfer RNA (63 nucleotides) under Potamilus streckersoni. RNAcentral describes it as "tRNA-Gly". The record is from RNAcentral. Lineage: Eukaryota; Metazoa; Mollusca; Bivalvia; Unionida; Unionidae.
AUGCUGAGAGUAUUCUUUAGUACAAUUGCCUUCCAAGCACAUAAGUCCUUUAAGGUCAGCAUA